This 288-nucleotide long non-coding RNA is filed under the name Sorghum bicolor (sorghum). Its description in RNAcentral is "long non-coding RNA (SBIC_LNC007603)". Lineage: Eukaryota; Viridiplantae; Streptophyta; Magnoliopsida; Poales; Poaceae. The record is from RNAcentral.
UAUAUAUGAUCGAUAGACGACCGAUCACACGUACUCUCAUCAGAAAAUUAAAAGGUUUAAAAAGAAAAGGACAUGCAUAUACUACACAUGCAUGCACAAGCAGAUUAUGUGUAAUAACCUAACCCAUGCAUGCAUGCAGAUUAUGCAGAGCAACAACGAACGACGACAUACACACAUAUAUAGUAUGAGCGAUCAAAUUAGAGCAAAUCAUAAUGCUCAUGCAUUUUAAUAAAAUUAAGCGGGGCAGGUGAAGUCCGCGGGGCAGAUCUUGCCGCAGUGGUUGAGGAG